This 558-nucleotide small RNA is filed under the name Histoplasma capsulatum var. duboisii H88. RNAcentral's name for it is "Histoplasma capsulatum H88 hypothetical RNA". The record is from RNAcentral. Lineage: Eukaryota; Fungi; Ascomycota; Eurotiomycetes; Onygenales; Ajellomycetaceae.
CCAGUUCCUGCGGGCUUUCAUUGUGUCAACUUUCUUUGCUACCCUGGUAGCGACAUUGUUUGAAUGUCAGCCAUUGUACAUGUUUUGGAGUCAUGAACACCUGCACCAUCCAUGUCGGAAAGGCAUGGCUAAUUUGCUCACAAUGGGCACCUUGAACAUCGCAACCGAUCUUGCUUUGAUUCUUUUCCCCAUCCCAAUGCUCUGGAGAAUGACAUCCCUUGAUUUUCAAGCAAAGUUGCAAUUAACCCUUUUGUUCCUAGUCGGAAUAUUGGUUGUUGCAAUUACGGUUACGCGGCUGCCUCUUAUAUUAAGUCAAUCGGUGGCUCAGUCAACAUUCCAUCUGUUCGGAGAAUUGGACAUUAGGACGUAUCAGAUGCUAACGGAAGGAACUAUAAUUUGGCGAGACUGCAGUGGGCAUCCAUUGAAAUUGUCUGCUCAAGCGUUGUUGCCAAUGCUUCAUUUUACUAUGCCAUUUGGCAAGGGUCAUUUCGAUAUCAGGCCCACCCCGCAGCCUCCGAAAACUUAUCUAUACCAUUUCGGCUUUUGCCUUGGUCUAGG